AGGGCUCCAGAAGUUCACCUCCUCCAUUCCUCCUGCAGCCACAAGACUGAUGACUUCAACAUUGAGCUUGUGUGCCUCAUCUCAGGCUUCUACCCGAGCCCAGUCACAGUGAAUUGGCUGGUUGAUGGCAAAUCCGGGGUGCUGGCUUCCCACACGGAGUCCCCCAAGAAAGAUGCUACAGGGAACACCUUCAGCACUACCAGCACUGCCAAUGUUACUCAAGUAGCCUGGAAAGAGGGGAAGACAUACACCUGCCAGGUGAUCCACGAGGGUACCAGAGUGGAAAAAGAUGCCUCAAAAUGCCCAG
Molecule: non-coding RNA, 307 nt
Organism: Gekko japonicus
Lineage: Eukaryota; Metazoa; Chordata; Lepidosauria; Squamata; Gekkonidae
Source: the annotation of a RefSeq genome assembly